GCCGCCGCCGGGCCGCACCGGCAGCACCGCCCGGGACUACAACUCCCGGCGGGCCGCGCUGCGCGCCCCGCCCCGCCCCGUGCCGCAGCGGCGGGCGGGCCCCGCUCCCGCUCCCGGCCCCGCUCCCGGUGCAGGUUGCCGGGCCGCAGUGGACCGCCCCGGAGCCCGGCCACGAUGCUGCGUCUGGCUGCCUUUGCAGCGCUGCUGCUGUUCUUCAGGGUCAGUCUGGAGCUGUCCUGGGUCCAGGCCAUCCCUGCUCUCUUCAUCUUCUACCUGGGAUCCGGCGGAUGGGACUUCUUCCUCAUAUUCAUCAAGACAGUACGAAGGGAUGUCCACACGGGACUGGUCCUGUUGCGUGUGAAGUGUCAGGUAUGGAAACACAUGAGGGAGAAGAACACAAUUGCCAAGAUCUUCCAGAAGACCGCAAGGAAGUAUCCAGAGAAGACAGCGCUGAUCUUCCAAGGCACGGGCGAGAGCUGGACCUUCCGGCAGCUGGAUGAGUACUCCAACAGAGUGGCCAACUUCUUCUAUGGGCAAGGCUUCCGCUCGGGUGACGUGGUGGCUCUCUUCAUGGAGUCCCGCAAUCAGUACGUGGGGCUGUGGCUCGGCUUGGCCAAGAUUGGGGUGGAAACGGCCCUUGUGAAUUCCCACCUGCGCAUGGAGGCCUUGCUGCACUGCAUCACCAUCUCCAACUCCAAAGCUGUGGUGUUCGGUGUGGAGAUGAUGGAAGCAAUGCAGGAAGUGCAGCCCUCCCUGGAGAAAUCUGUCCAUCUUUACUGGUCAGGGGAAGGAAGUUGCGAGUCUGCGCUUCCUGGUGCGAAACACUUGGACCCCCUCCUGCAGAUGGCCCAGAAGCACCCACCCACCCCCCCGGAUAAGGGCUUUCUUGACAAACUCUUCUACAUCUACACCUCUGGCACAACGGGGCUGCCCAAGGCUGCAAUUGUGGUGAACUGCCGGUACUUCCGCAUGGCCAGCUUGGUUUUCUACGGUUUCCGCAUGAGGUCCGACGAUGUGAUGUACGACUGCCUCCCGCUCUACCACGCUGCAGGGAACAUCGUGGGGAUCGGGCAGUGCCUGCUGCAGGGCAUGACCAUUGUCAUCCGCAAGAAGUUCUCGGCCUCGCACUUUUGGGAGGACUGUGUCAGAUACAACUGCACGAUUGUGCAGUACAUCGGGGAGAUCUGCCGCUACCUGCUGAACCAGCCGUACCAGGAGGCGGAGCGGCAGCACCGGGUGCGCAUGGCGCUGGGCAACGGGCUGCGGGCUUCCAUCUGGAGGGAGUUCAUGGCCCGCUUCGGCAUUGCCCAGGUAGCAGAGUUCUACGGGGCCACCGAGUGCAACUGCAGCCUGGGAAACUUUGAUAACAACGUUGGGUCGUGCGGCUUCAACAGCAGGAUCCUACCAGGUGUGCACCCCAUCGGCUUGGUGAAGGUGGAUGAAGACACCAUGGAGCUGAUCCGGGGACCAGAUGGUGUCUGUAUCCACUGCAAGCCAGGGGAGCCGGGGCAGCUGGUGGGCCGCAUUGUCAAGAGCAACCCCUUCCAGCACUUUGAUGGCUACCUGAAUAAGUCAGCCACCAACAAGAAAAUUGCCAGGGAUGUGUUUGCAAAAGGGGACACUGCCUAUCUCACAGGGGAUGUCCUGGUGAUGGACAAAUACGGCUACAUGUACUUCCGGGACCGCACUGGGGACACAUUCCGCUGGAAGGGGGAGAACGUCUCCACCACAGAGGUGGAGGGGACGCUGAGCCACAUCCUCAACCUGACAGACGUGGUGGUUUAUGGGGUGGAGAUCCCAGGGAUUGAAGGGAAGGCAGGAAUGGCAGCCAUCGCCGACCCGGAGAACUCCUGUGACCUCGAAGGCUUUGCCAGCAAGCUGAAAAAGGCGCUGCCGCUGUAUGCACGUCCCGUCUUCCUGCGGUUCCUGGACAAAGUCUCCAAGACAAGCACUUAUAAGUUCCAGAAGGUGGAGCUGCGGAAGCAGGGCUUUGACCCUACGGUGGUGAAGGACAGGUUGUACUUCCUGGACUCCAGGCAAGGUCGCUACCUGCCGCUGGACCAGGCAGCGUUCGACAGGAUCCAGUCGGGACAGCAGAAGCUGUAACCGGUGGGGCUCAAGCAAGGCACCUCCCCGAAUCCUGCUGGGGAGAGGGGGGCAAGGCAGGCACAGGGGAAGAAAAGGUUCAAGGAGUGCUAUAAAGAUGUAACUCAGCACUGUGGAGCUGCUCGUGAGGAUUUUUCUGCUGGUCGAUGUCUGUGCCCUGAAUGUGGGAAGCAACUUGCCAUGGGGAGAGAAAGUCCUCCGGAGGAGGGUGGUCUCUGUGAGAGCCUGACUUCACUUGCUCUGCAUCCCUUCCCGAAAGAGCCCUCCCUGUCUCCGCCGCAGGAGAUGGUCCCCAAACUGAAAUGUCCAUGUUAAACAUCUGACUUUGCGCUACGUGAGCUCCCCGUGUUGUGUCUGUCUGACGUGAAACGGCCUUGGCAGUGGUGUCCGGUUCCAGUCCUCGAGGACCAUGCAGAAACGUCUGUUCCAGAGAAAACUCUGGAUUGGGGUUUAUUCUUCUUCCCCUCCCCCCUUUUUAUUUUUCUCCUUUAACGAUUUGGUUUUAUGCUUUUAGCAGGGUUACUCCUUAAAAUGACGUCUGUCUUUUGUGAGGGCAGGGUGUGCCUGCUCUUCUAGCUGUGUUUCCACACCAACGUACCUGCCUGCCCCAGUCUGUCCUGUCCUCACAAUUAAAUGCGAGUAUGGGCUAUG
Strigops habroptila (Kakapo) is the source of this 2757-nucleotide RNA transcript. It is a transcript of the gene named solute carrier family 27 member 4, with no coding region annotated. The record is from RefSeq and is a predicted model, not a curated record. Lineage: Eukaryota; Metazoa; Chordata; Aves; Psittaciformes; Psittacidae. The transcript has 14 exons.